This 769-nucleotide ribosomal RNA is filed under the name uncultured bacterium. RNAcentral's name for it is "bacterial SSU rRNA". It matches the Rfam family "Bacterial small subunit ribosomal RNA", at positions 10 to 796 of the family's 1533-position model. The record is from RNAcentral.
AGUUUGAUCCUGGCUCAGGACGAACGCUGGCGGCGUGCUUAACACAUGCAAGUCGAACGGAAAGGCCCUUCGGGGUACUCGAGUGGCGAACGGGUGAGUAACACGUGGGUGAUCUGCCCUGCACUUUGGGAUAAGCCUGGGAAACUGGGUCUAAUACCGAAUAGGACCGCGCGCUUCAUGGUGUGUGGUGGAAAGCUUUUGCGGUGUGGGAUGGGCCCGCGGCCUAUCAGCUUGUUGGUGGGGUAAUGGCCUACCAAGGCGACGACGGGUAGCCGGCCUGAGAGGGUGACCGGCCACACUGGGACUGAGAUACGGCCCAGACUCCUACGGGAGGCAGCAGUGGGGAAUAUUGCACAAUGGGCGCAAGCCUGAUGCAGCGACGCCGCGUGAGGGAUGACGGCCUUCGGGUUGUAAACCUCUUUCACCAGGGACGAAGCGCAAGUGACGGUACCUGGAGAAGAAGCACCGGCCAACUACGUGCCAGCAGCCGCGGUAAUACGUAGGGUGCGAGCGUUGUCCGGAAUUACUGGGCGUAAAGAGCUCGUAGGUGGUUUGUCGCGUUGUUCGUGAAAACUCACAGCUUAACUGUGGGCGUGCGGGCGAUACGGGCAGACUAGAGUACUGCAGGGGAGACUGGAAUUCCUGGUGUAGCGGUGGAAUGCGCAGAUAUCAGGAGGAACACCGGUGGCGAAGGCGGGUCUCUGGGCAGUAACUGACGCUGAGGAGCGAAAGCGUGGGGAGCGAACAGGAUUAGAUACCCUGGUAGUCC